RNAcentral lists this small RNA (26 nucleotides) under Bombyx mori (domestic silkworm). Its description in RNAcentral is "ovarian small RNA-20140". The record is from RNAcentral. Lineage: Eukaryota; Metazoa; Arthropoda; Insecta; Lepidoptera; Bombycidae.
UACAAUCGACACGGUGAUGGAACAAG